Molecule: ribosomal RNA, 1687 nt
Filed under: epibiont metagenome
Description: bacterial LSU rRNA
Rfam family: Bacterial large subunit ribosomal RNA
Source: RNAcentral
GAUUCGUUCGCGGAAAAUAUAACGGGGCUAAAAUAUCCACCGAAGCUCUAGACUUGAUAAUAAUCAAGUGGUAGGAGAGCGUUCUAAUCAGCACUGAAGCCAUACCGGUAAGGAGUGGUGGAGCGAUUAGAAGUGAGCAUGCAGGCAUGAGUAACGAUAAAAGUAGUGAGAAUCUACUUCGCCGAAAACCCAAGGUUUCCUACGCGAUGUUCGUCAUCGUAGGGUUAGUCGGGACCUAAGUCGAGUCCGAAAGGGGUAGACGAUGGAAAAAAGGUUAAUAUUCCUUUACCAACAAUUGAUCGUGAUGUGGGGACGCAUAGAGUUAGACGAGGUCGCUGAUGGAAUAGCGGUCGAAGGAUGUAGGUUGUAUCUUAGGCAAAUCCGGGAUACAUUAAGACCGAAAUCUGACAGGCUAAAUAAUACUUUCGAGUAGCAUUUAGAAUCGUUGAUACUGUCGUGCCUAGAAAAGCCACUAAGCAUAUCAAUUGUUGCCCGUACCGUAAACCGACACAGGUGGGUGAGAUGAGUAUUCUAAGGCGCGUGGAAGAACUCUGGUUAAGGAACUCUGCAAACUAGCACCGUAAGUUCGCGAUAAGGUGUGCCUGAGUAAUCAGGUCUCAGCAAAGAGUCCCUCCCGACUGUUUACCAAAAACACAGCACUCUGCUAACUCGUAAGAGGAUGUAUAGGGUGUGACGCCUGCCCGGUGCUCGAAGGUUAACUGAUGGAGUUAGCGUAAGCGAAGCUCUUGAUUGAAGCCCGAGUAAACGGCGGCCGUAACUAUAACGGUCCUAAGGUAGCGAAAUUCCUUGUCGGUUAAAUACCGACCUGCAUGAAUGGCGUAACGAGAUGGGAGCUGUCUCAACCAGAGAUCCAGUGAAAUUGUAGUGGAGGUGAAAAUUCCUCCUACCCGCGGAAAGACGGAAAGACCCCGUGCACCUUUACUACAGCUUGGCACUGUAGCUUGGAUAUUCAUGUGCAGGAUAGGUGGGAGGCUAUGAAGGAUAGACGCAAGUAGAUCUGGAGCCACCCUUGAGAUACCACCCUUGAAUAUUCGGGUUACUAACUAGCUUAGGUUAUCCCUAAGUAGGACAAUGUCUGGUGGGUAGUUUGACUGGGGCGGUCGCCUCCUAAAAAGUAACGGAGGCUUACAAAGGUUAGUUCAGACUGGUUGGAAAUCAGUUGAUGAGUGUAAUGGCAUAAACUAGCUUGACUGUGAGAGAUACAACUCGAGCAGAGACGAAAGUCGGUCAUAGUGAUCCGGUGGUUCUGUGUGGAAGGGCCAUCGCUCAAAGGAUAAAAGGUACGCCGGGGAUAACAGGCUGAUCUCCCCCAAGAGCUCACAUCGACGGGGAGGUUUGGCACCUCGAUGUCGGCUCAUCGCAUCCUGGGGCUGGAGCAGGUCCCAAGGGUAUGGCUGUUCGCCAUUUAAACGGUACGCGAGCUGGGUUCAGAACGUCGUGAGACAGUUCGGUCCCUAUCUUCCGUGGGCGUAGGAAACUUGAAGAGAUUUGUCCCUAGUACGAGAGGACCGGGAUGAACAUGCCACUGGUGUACCAGUUGUUCUGCCAAGAGCACAGCUGGGUAGCUACGCAUGGAUGUGAUAAGAGCUGAAAGCAUCUAAGCUCGAAGCCAACUCUAAGAUGAAGUUUCCCUGAAGUUCCCAGCAAGACUAGCUGGUUGAUAGGC